ACUUGACAGUCUGGAGGAAACGCCUGUGUCUAAAUCAACUGAAGGUGUAGUUGAAAAUCUUGAUGAUGUUAUCCGGGCAAUUGGGGAUGCUGUAACCAAGGAUGACAAAACAUUUGACAUCAUAGUGUCACGACAAAACAUGUUGGAGAGGGGCCUUGUGCAGUGGCAGCGGCAAAAAAAACAUCUACUAACCAGCUUCAAGUUACCUUUUUAGGAGAAGCUGGUGUUGACACUGGGGCUCUCCGUAAACAGUUUCUGACAGGGAUGGUGGCGGGCAUUGAGGAACGGUUCUUUGAGAAGGGCACACAUGGCCGUAGACCUAAAUACUCAAUGUCUGAUUUGGACAAAG
Long non-coding RNA from Perca flavescens (yellow perch), 349 nucleotides. RefSeq lists it as uncharacterized. Lineage: Eukaryota; Metazoa; Chordata; Actinopteri; Perciformes; Percidae. The record is from RefSeq and is a predicted model, not a curated record. The transcript has 3 exons.